Molecule: long non-coding RNA, 213 nt
Filed under: Hordeum vulgare
Lineage: Eukaryota; Viridiplantae; Streptophyta; Magnoliopsida; Poales; Poaceae
Description: long non-coding RNA (HVUL_LNC021613)
Source: RNAcentral
UUUAACCGGACAAUGGAUAGCACAACAUCCAUAAAUGAUCAUCUCCUCAUCAACAACCUCGUUCUAAACCCGUCAUACCCUGUGGAAGUAAUCUCAAGGUCCAGAAUGGCGGUGAAUACUAGGAACACAAUUGGUGUCGUUCUCCUCCUGGUCGUGAUGGUAGAAGCGGUAUCAACACCAGUGGCAACUGCCGAAGAGUUCUGUUGGGACAAA